AGCUUGCUUCUCUUGAGAGCGGCGGACGGGUGAGUAAUGCCUAGGAAUCUGCCUGGUAGUGGGGGAUAACGUUCGGAAACGAACGCUAAUACCGCAUACGUCCUACGGGAGAAAGCAGGGGACCUUCGGGCCUUGCGCUAUCAGAUGAGCCUAGGUCGGAUUAGCUAGUUGGUGAGGUAAUGGCUCACCAAGGCGACGAUCCGUAACUGGUCUGAGAGGAUGAUCAGUCACACUGGAACUGAGACACGGUCCAGACUCCUACGGGAGGCAGCAGUGGGGAAUAUUGGACAAUGGGCGAAAGCCUGAUCCAGCCAUGCCGCGUGUGUGAAGAAGGUCUUCGGAUUGUAAAGCACUUUAAGUUGGGAGGAAGGGCAUUAACCUAAUACGUUGGUGUCUUGACGUUACCGACAGAAUAAGCACCGGCUAACUCUGUGCCAGCAGCCGCGGUAAUACAGAGGGUGCAAGCGUUAAUCGGAAUUACUGGGCGUAAAGCGCGCGUAGGUGGUUUGUUAAGUUGGAUGUGAAAUCCCCGGGCUCAACCUGGGAACUGCAUUCAAAACUGACAAGCUAGAGUAUGGUAGAGGGUGGUGGAAU
This 594-nucleotide ribosomal RNA is filed under the name uncultured bacterium. Its description in RNAcentral is "bacterial SSU rRNA". It matches the Rfam family "Bacterial small subunit ribosomal RNA", at positions 77 to 667 of the family's 1533-position model. The record is from RNAcentral.